AGCUAGUCGAGCUGAGAUUUCGUCACACACCAGACCACAAGGGCUGAUGAGACUUACAAGAUAAGUGAAGCG
Non-coding RNA from Schistosoma curassoni, 72 nucleotides. Lineage: Eukaryota; Metazoa; Platyhelminthes; Trematoda; Strigeidida; Schistosomatidae. The record is from Rfam.